Molecule: long non-coding RNA, 1050 nt
Filed under: Vulpes vulpes (red fox)
Lineage: Eukaryota; Metazoa; Chordata; Mammalia; Carnivora; Canidae
Description: lncRNA (ENSVVUG00000015261.1)
Source: RNAcentral
CUCGCGCCCCCUUCCCCGCCCCGCGUUGGCCUCCAACAGGAAGUCGUCCCGGCCCCUGCCACGUGACCCCGCCGCAUCUGCAUACCGGAGGGCGAGCCGGCCAAUCGGCGCCCUGCACCCGAGCUCCGCCCCCGCGCGCCCCUCCCCGGCCCAUUGGUUCGUCCCGGGCAGGCCACGCCCCGUCCUUCCCCCUUAAUACCCGCUCGCGUUGUGGUUCCGCAGACUGCGCGGGGAGCGCGCCGGGGUGCGAGCGGGCGGGCGCGCGCGCUCCCCCGGCCCGGGCGCGUGCAGGUCUCGGGGGCUCGGGCGACCUCCUUGCCGGUCCGUGGGCGCUGCAGCUCGGUGGAAGCGCGCUGGGCCGCGGGGCGCAACGUCCGCCCGGUUCGCUCCGCGCGCGCCCUGCGGCGCCUGGGCCCCGGGGUCGCGCGGCGUUUUGGCCCCGCGGCGCCAGCCCUCCGUGCAGCCCCGACCGGCGCCCGCCCCGACGCGCGUCCAGCCCGUGCCGUGCACACGCCCUGCACCUCCCCACCGUGCACACACUCGCACACGCGCCGACCCGGGCCCGGGAGCAUCCUGCCAGCCGCGCGCCUCCCAGCCUCCCCUUGCACGCAGCGGCUCCCGGGGGAGCGCCCUGCUGCGAACCAAACAAACCUCCCUACGCAACGGCUCCCCCGCCCCCGAGAGCGAACCGCCCUCCCCCACCACGCGGGCCCCGGGCCCGGGGGCGGGAGGGACCCAGACGCUCCGGCGCUCGGUACCCAGUGCUGGUCCGCCAUCCCGCCGCUGCUCGUCGGUGCACAGUCGUCAUGAGCCGUAGGGAGAGACUUGUGUGUGUUAAUAUGCUGCAAAGAAAGAGCCAGUAAAGAGGACACAGCAAAGAGGAAGAUGUUUGCUUGUUUGUUUGGAAGGGGUUGAGCAUGAAGUAAGGCAAGAGAAGGGCCUGGGGCAGAUGGGAGACUGGGGGGGUGGUUUGACAGGGGCAGGAGGACUUCUUUUACUAAGACUAGAGGCCCCUGCUUCCAAGCCCACAUGAGUGCAUGUUGGGGGUGG